RNAcentral lists this ribosomal RNA (468 nucleotides) under uncultured bacterium. Its description in RNAcentral is "partial 16S ribosomal RNA". It matches the Rfam family "Bacterial small subunit ribosomal RNA", at positions 28 to 507 of the family's 1533-position model. The record is from RNAcentral.
GACGAACGCUGGCGGCGUGCUUAACACAUGCAAGUCGAACGGAAGGGCCCUGCUUUUGUGGGGUGCUCGAGUGGCGAACGGGUGAGUAACACGUGAGUAACCUGCCCUUGACUUUGGGAUAACUUCAGGAAACUGGGGCUAAUACCGGAUAGGAGCUCCUGCUGCAUGGUGGGGGUUGGAAAGUUUCGGCGGUUGGGGAUGGACUCGCGGCUUAUCAGCUUGUUGGUGGGGUAGUGGCUUACCAAGGCUUUGACGGGUAGCCGGCCUGAGAGGGUGGCCGGCCACAUUGGGACUGAGAUACGGCCCAGACUCCUACGGGAGGCAGCAGUGGGGAAUAUUGCACAAUGGGCGGUAGCCUGAUGCAGCAACGCCGCGUGCGGGAUGACGGCCUUCGGGUUGUAAACCGCUUUCGCCUGUGACGAAGCGUGAGUGACGGUAAUGGGUAAAGAAGCACCGGCUAACUACGUG